GCCCCCGUAGCCAAGCCCGGCAAGGCAUCGGACUUUUAAUCCGCAGAUCGUGGGUUCGAAUCCCACCGGGGGCACCA
Molecule: transfer RNA, 77 nt
Filed under: bacterium
Lineage: Bacteria
Description: tRNA-Lys
Rfam family: tRNA
About the family: Transfer RNA (tRNA) molecules are approximately 80 nucleotides in length. Their secondary structure includes four short double-helical elements and three loops (D, anti-codon, and T loops).
Source: RNAcentral